AUUGAACGCUAGCGGGAUGCUGUACACAUGCAAGUCGAACGGCAGCGCGGACUUCGGUCUGGCGGCGAGUGGCGAACGGGUGAGUAAUGUAUCGGAACGUGCCCAGUAGCGGGGGAUAACUACGCGAAAGCGUAGCUAAUACCGCAUACGCCCUACGGGGGAAAGCAGGGGAUCGUAAGACCUUGCACUAUUGGAGCGGCCGAUAUCGGAUUAGCUAGUUGGUGAGGUAACGGCUCACCAAGGCGACGAUCCGUAGCUGGUUUGAGAGGACGACCAGCCACACUGGGACUGAGACACGGCCCAGACUCCUACGGGAGGCAGCAGUGGGGAAUUUUGGACAAUGGGGGCAACCCUGAUCCAGCCAUCCCGCGUGUGCGAUGAAGGCCUUCGGGUUGUAAAGCACUUUUGGCAGGAAAGAAACGUCGCGGGCUAAUACCCCGUGGAACUGACGGUACCUGCAGAAUAAGCACCGGCUAACUACGUG
RNAcentral lists this ribosomal RNA (484 nucleotides) under uncultured bacterium. RNAcentral's name for it is "partial 16S ribosomal RNA". It matches the Rfam family "Bacterial small subunit ribosomal RNA", at positions 30 to 507 of the family's 1533-position model. The record is from RNAcentral.